UACGUAGGGUGCAAGCGUUAAUCGGAAUUACUGGGCGUAAAGCGUGCGCAGGCGGCUAUGCAAGACAGAUGUGAAAUCCCCGGGCUCAACCUGGGAACUGCAUUUGUGACUGCAUGGCUAGAGUACGGUAGAGGGGGAUGGAAUUCCGCGUGUAGCAGUGAAAUGCGUAGAUAUGCGGAGGAACACCGAUGGCGAAGGCAAUCCCCUGGACCUGUACUGACGCUCAUGCACGAAAGCGGGGUGGAGCAAACAGG
RNAcentral lists this ribosomal RNA (254 nucleotides) under uncultured bacterium. Its description in RNAcentral is "partial 16S ribosomal RNA". It matches the Rfam family "Bacterial small subunit ribosomal RNA", at positions 524 to 776 of the family's 1533-position model. The record is from RNAcentral.